Rattus norvegicus (Norway rat) is the source of this 1450-nucleotide non-coding RNA. NCBI's taxonomy places the organism in Eukaryota, Metazoa, Chordata, Mammalia, Rodentia, Muridae. The record is from RefSeq and is a predicted model, not a curated record.
GGGGGCUGGGAAAUGUAGUUGCCAAGUGUAGAGCAGCUCCCCUCUAACUCCCACCUAUAAUGAGUGUGGCAGUCUCAGUCCUAAGGCAGUGUUCUCAUAUACCCACACAAAGAAGUUGAACUCGGUUAAAGGUUGCAAAGGGACAACUCCUUUAGUUAGAUAUUUUAAUAUUACCUAGGAGGACUAUGAGGCAUGACAGGUAAACGUGUUCAGGACACUGAUCAGGUGACUUCUGUCAGUUUGUAGCUCGCUUCCCAAGACACACUCCGGAAGCCCCCUAGUUUUAGUAUCUUGAUUGUAUCCUGAUCCUUUGCCUGGUUCUUGGUACUAUCACAGGACCACCCUUCCUGCAUUUCCCUCCCCACCCCCAAAUCUGGUAGAUUCAAGGCUCCAUAGCUAUAUUCUUUAGUUCUUAAUCUCCACCCACUACACCCAGCCAAUCAAAGACUACAGAGUCAGACCCUUAGCCACAGUAACAUUGUUCUGAGAAUGGGAAUAGGUAAGAGGGUCCCGAUUUCCUCAUGUAAGAGGGAGCUCUUUUAAUGUCCUUUGGGAAGAGCUUGUGGCUGGGAGUCACCCCAAUAAACCCCCAAAGAAAAACCUCAAUCUACACAGAAGAGCAGAGCAACAGGUGACCUGGAUAUAUUUUAUUGUCAUUGAGAUUAACAAGAGCAGGGUUAUAUACAAGAUGCGACCCCCCACCCCAAGGACAUAUCUAAACAUCUCCCAAACUGCUCAGGGACCCCAACCUUGGAGGAUGCGCUGAAGCUAUACCAGCUUCUUUGGAGCUCGGGAUCUAUGAACCUCCGGCCUGGAUGUUGCCUCUUGGUGACAUCAGACUCCAUCCAGGGGAAGGAUCGCCUGCCAGGGUGCUGCCGCUUGACUUGGGGGACAUCUGAGAACCAGGAAUCCAGAAAGAAAUCUGGUAACCAGGACCGUGGCAUCCAGUCACUGUCCUCCUCAUCUGCCCAUGAAUACUUGUCCUGGUUGGCACGUCGGCCGGGGUGCUGUCGUUUGUGGAGUCUCCAGGCUCCCCCUUCUCCCAAGUCUCCCCUCUCUUCAGCUUCAAUGUCUUUUUCCUCCUCCUCCCUUUUGCCUGGAUGCUGGCGUUUUGUGAUCCAGGAGUCUGGAGAAGGAAAAGUCAGUGUGGGAGAACCUGACCCCCUUCAUCAGAGACCCUCACUUUCAGGCUACAUACCACUCUAGACAUACUUUGUCAUGGCAGCUCCUCCCUCCCAUUGUCUGCUCCUCAGAUCUUAUAGACCCCCUCAGCCCCAGCUCUCUACUUUCUUGUGGGUGACCAUAAGCCACUUCUUACUUGUAUUUUCUGAAUCUCAGUUUCCAGGACAAAAUGGCAACAGGUCCUUAUAGAUAGAUAGGGCCUUAGAGACAAGUGCUUAGUAAACAAUAAUUAAAGCUGUUGUGGAUGGGGACCAUAUGAAGUUGUGAC